GACGAACGCUGGCGGCGUGCUUAACACAUGCAAGUCGAACGGAAAGGCCCUGCUUUUGUGGGGUGCUCGAGUGGCGAACGGGUGAGUAACACGUGAGUAACCUGCCCUUGACUUUGGGAUAACUUCAGGAAACUGGGGCUAAUACCGGAUAGGAGCUCCUGCUGCAUGGUGGGGGUUGGAAAGUUUCGGCGGUUGGGGAUGGACUCGCGGCUUAUCAGCUUGUUGGUGGGGUAGUGGUUUACCAAGGCUUUGACGGGUAGCCGGCCUGAGAGGGUGACCGGUCACAAUGGGACUGAGAUACGGCCCAGACUCCUACGGGGGGCAGCAGGGGGGAACAUUGCACAAUGGGCGGGAGCCUGAUGCAGCAACGCCGCGUGCGGGAUGACGGCCUUCGGGUUGUAAACCGCUUUCGCCUGUGACGAAGCGUGAGUGACGGUAAUGGGUAAAGAAGCACCGGCUAACUACGUG
RNAcentral lists this ribosomal RNA (468 nucleotides) under uncultured bacterium. Its description in RNAcentral is "partial 16S ribosomal RNA". It matches the Rfam family "Bacterial small subunit ribosomal RNA", at positions 28 to 507 of the family's 1533-position model. The record is from RNAcentral.